AGACCACACAGUGAUCUGACUAGU
RNAcentral lists this non-coding RNA (24 nucleotides) under Arabidopsis thaliana (thale cress). The record is from RNAcentral. Lineage: Eukaryota; Viridiplantae; Streptophyta; Magnoliopsida; Brassicales; Brassicaceae.